CAGCAGCCGCGGUAAUACGUAGGGUGCAAGCGUUAAUCGGAAUUACUGGGCGUAAAGCGUGCGCAGGCGGUUAUAUAAGACAGAUGUGAAAUCCCCGGGCUCAACCUGGGAACUGCAUUUGUGACUGUAUAGCUAGAGUACGGCAGAGGGGGAUGGAAUUCCGCGUGUAGCAGUGAAAUGCGUAGAUAUGCGGAGGAACACCGAUGGCGAAGGCAAUCCCCUGGGCCUGUACUGACGCUGAGGUACGAAAGCAUGGGGAGCAAACAGGAUUAGAUACCCCGGUAGUCCCUGUCUCUUAUAC
This 301-nucleotide ribosomal RNA is filed under the name uncultured bacterium. RNAcentral's name for it is "partial 16S ribosomal RNA". It matches the Rfam family "Bacterial small subunit ribosomal RNA", at positions 509 to 807 of the family's 1533-position model. The record is from RNAcentral.